This 1402-nucleotide ribosomal RNA is filed under the name uncultured bacterium. RNAcentral's name for it is "16S ribosomal RNA". It matches the Rfam family "Bacterial small subunit ribosomal RNA". The record is from RNAcentral.
AGAGUUUGAUCCUGGCUCAGGAUGAACGCUAGCGGCAGGCUUAACACAUGCAAGUCGAGGGGCAGCGGGGAGGAAGCUUGCUUUCUCCGCCGGCGACCGGCGCACGGGUGAGUAACACGUAUGCAACCUGCCCCUGUCAGGGGGACAACCCGCCGAAAGGCGGGCUAAACCCGCGUACAUGCCACCGGGGCAUCCCGGAGGCAGGAAAGGCUUCGGCCGGACAGGGAUGGGCAUGCGGCGCAUUAGGCAGUAGGCGGGGUAACGGCCCACCUAACCGACGAUGCGUAGGGGUUCUGAGAGGAAGGUCCCCCACACUGGUACUGAGACACGGACCAGACUCCUACGGGAGGCAGCAGUGAGGAAUAUUGGUCAAUGGUCGGGAGACUGAACCAGCCAAGCCGCGUGAGGGAGGAAGGUACAGAGUAUCGUAAACCUCUUUUGUCAGGGAACAAAGGCGGGGACGUGUCCCCGGAUGAGUGUACCUGAAGAAAAAGCAUCGGCUAACUCCGUGCCAGCAGCCGCGGUAAUACGGAGGAUGCGAGCGUUAUCCGGAUUUAUUGGGUUUAAAGGGUGCGCAGGCGGUCUGUUAAGUCAGCGGUCAAAGCCCGGGGCUCAACCCCGGCCCGCCGUUGAAACUGGCAGUCUCGAGUUGGAGAGAAGUAUGCGGAAUGCGCGGUGUAGCGGUGAAAUGCAUAGAUAUCGCGCAGAACUCCGAUUGCGAAGGCAGCAUGCCGGCUCCACACUGACGCUGAGGCACGAAAGCGUGGGUAUCGAACAGGAUUAGAUACCCUGGUAGUCCACGCAGUAAACGAUGAAUGCUGGCUGUCCGGGGGGAUUGACCCCUGGGUGGCGAAGCGAAAGCGAUAAGCAUUCCACCUGGGGAGUACGCCGGCAACGGUGAAACUCAAAGGAAUUGACGGUGGCCCGCACAAGCGGAGGAACAUGUGGUUUAAUUCGAUGAUACGCGAGGAACCUUACCCGGGCUCAAACGGGGAGUGACUCAGGCAGAGACGCCUGUUUCCCACGGGACACUCCCCGAGGUGCUGCAUGGUUGUCGUCAGCUCGUGCCGUGAGGUGUCGGCUUAAGUGCCAUAACGAGCGCAACCCCCGCGUGCAGUUGCUAACAGAUAACGCUGAGGACUCUGCACGGACUGCCGGCGCAAGCCGCGAGGAAGGCGGGGAUGACGUCAAAUCAGCACGGCCCUUACGUCCGGGGCGACACACGUGUUACAAUGGGUGGUACAGCGGGAAGCCAGGCGGCGACGCCGAGCGGAACCCGAAAUCCACUCUCAGUUCGGAUCGGAGUCUGCAACCCGACUCCGUGAAGCUGGAUUCGCUAGUAAUCGCGCAUCAGCCAUGGCGCGGUGAAUACGUUCCCGGGCCUUGCACACACCGCCCGUCA